This 253-nucleotide ribosomal RNA is filed under the name uncultured bacterium. RNAcentral describes it as "partial 16S ribosomal RNA". It matches the Rfam family "Bacterial small subunit ribosomal RNA", at positions 524 to 776 of the family's 1533-position model. The record is from RNAcentral.
UACGGAGGAGGCGAGCGUUAUCCGGAAUGAUUGGGCGUAAAGCGUCCGCAGGUGGCAAUGUAAGUCUGCUGUCAAAGCGUCUGGCUCAACCAGAUAAAGGCAGUGGAAACUACAUAGCUAGAGUAAGGUAGGGGUAGAGGGAAUUCCUGGUGUAGCGGUGAAAUGCGUAGAGAUCAGGAAGAACACCGGUGGCGAAAGCGCUCUGCUGGACCUUAACUGACACUGAGGGACGAAAGCUAGGGGAGCGAAUGGG